This 232-nucleotide ribosomal RNA is filed under the name uncultured bacterium. RNAcentral's name for it is "partial 16S ribosomal RNA". It matches the Rfam family "Bacterial small subunit ribosomal RNA", at positions 99 to 334 of the family's 1533-position model. The record is from RNAcentral.
CGGACGGGUGAGUAAUGUCUGGGAAACUGCCUGAUGGAGGGGGAUAACUACUGGAAACGGUAGCUAAUACCGCAUAACGUCGCAAGACCAAAGAGGGGGACCUUCGGGCCUCUUGCCAUCGGAUGUGCCCAGAUGGGAUUAGCUAGUAGGUGGGGUAGAGGCUCACCUAGGCGACGAUCCCUAGCUGGUCUGAGAGGAUGACCAGCCACACUGGAACUGAGACACGGUCCAG